AAAAUUUUAGUUUAUCUUUAAAACAUUUCAAUUACAAUGAAAAAAAUGAACUUAUUCAAAAUUUUA
RNAcentral lists this transfer RNA (66 nucleotides) under Amegilla calceifera. RNAcentral's name for it is "tRNA-Val". The record is from RNAcentral. Lineage: Eukaryota; Metazoa; Arthropoda; Insecta; Hymenoptera; Apidae.